This is a long non-coding RNA of Rhododendron vialii, 916 nucleotides long. RefSeq lists it as uncharacterized. The transcript has 3 exons. NCBI's taxonomy places the organism in Eukaryota, Viridiplantae, Streptophyta, Magnoliopsida, Ericales, Ericaceae. The record is from RefSeq and is a predicted model, not a curated record.
CAAGUCCUUUCUGAUCGUCAUUGAUCUCUCACUGGCAUCUUCACUGAUCGUCGAUCUCUCUCUCCGGCGUCGCAGGUACGCACGAUUUCUUCCUGAUCGACCUUUCUGUUUGGUUGUCACACGAUUUGGAUCACACACAGGCACAGAGUUCGGUUUAGAUCAAGUUUUGGGUUUCGAUCUCUCUGAACCUCAAAUCCCCUCUCUCUAUUUAAGGGUUUCGACAUUUCGCUGGGAAGAUUUCGAAUAUUCUGGAUUCGGCUUCGUAGGUAUAUUCGUCCGUGUAUACAAUAUAGACGCAAGCUAUGCUCUAGGGUUUUCAAUUGGGCAGAUCGGGGUUUCAAAUAUUUGGGGAAGGUUUCUUAAGCUUCAAUUUCAUGGCGCACCAAUUGCUUUUCCUGUAAGUGAUUUCGAUUCUCUGAUUUCUAUGUAAGGUUUUCAAUUUUUCGUUAACUUUAUUGUGUAUUGGGUCUUAUAUUUUGUUGCGUUUUAUAUGAGUUUGCAAACUGAUGCGAGUGAUUGAGAGAAUUUGAUUUACAAAAUUGGUAACUAUGAUUUUACCUUCUUUAGUGUAUUACUCUCUUUUGUUUCAGCUUGAUUUCUCUAAAUUUCUCAGUUCCCUCAUAGACCUAGGCUGACCCACAGUGGCAGAGUUGAAGAUUUGAUAGGCUUGAUUUCAUUUUGGAGUCUUCUCAAGAAUCCUUGGGUUAGCAAAUUCAGAAUCAUAAUUGGGUCAAAUUUGGCUCUUCUAUAAUUAGGAUAGGAUCAUCAAACUCUCAAGGAUGUCCUGCCCAAGAUUAAAGCUCCAAGGAUGUUGCAGUCUAUAUUCGCUGCAGUUGGUUAUCUUUACCUGUACAAGCUCUCUCAUGUACUCAUUGGUGGCCAUGCCGCGCAAUGUGCAGUAGCAUCCUUCUAGUUU